UUUUUAUAUUAAAGACAAGAAGACCCUAUGAAUUUAUUAAUUUUUAUUUAAUAUGUAAUUACUAUUAGAAAAAUUUUGGCUGGGGCGGCUAGAAAAUAUUAUAAACUUUUUAAAAAUAAAAUGAUCCAUUAUUAAUGAUUUUAUGUUAAAUACUCUAGGGAUAACAGCGUUAUAUUUUUUGAUAGAUCAUAUUGACAAAAAAGUUUGCGACCUCGAUGUUGGAUUAGGAUACUUUUUAAUGAAGAUAUAAA
This 251-nucleotide ribosomal RNA is filed under the name Rhipicephalus sanguineus (brown dog tick). RNAcentral describes it as "partial large subunit ribosomal RNA". The record is from RNAcentral. Lineage: Eukaryota; Metazoa; Arthropoda; Arachnida; Ixodida; Ixodidae.